CGAAGUGCAUGUAUUUCUACGCAGACGCCUGGCGAAGGUUGACGAAGAGUAGCGAGGGCGAUCGUUAAUAGUAUUGUCUUAGUCUAAGAUAGCAGUACAGUAUUUCACUUGGCGGCAGAAGGAGCGGAAGGAGAAUCUGCCUCUAACAGGUUGUCCAGUUGGAGAUUUUGAGUUUUCCAACAUGGCGGCAGACAAGUAUAAUUAUAAUAACAAUAAUAAUAUUAUACAAUGUAUUCGCGUGAAGAAGAGGCUGGACUUUCUUGGGCACUGAAAGAAGGACUAUAGCAGAGCUGCCGUGCAAUUAUAAGUUCAACAUCUGAGCCGGUUCUGCCCCCUACGACACUGACAUGGCUUCUCACAGUCAGUUUGUCAGUGACUGUUGCUGGAACAAGUCGUUUUUCUGUUCUCUUUCCUCUGCUUUUAUUACCGGUUUGACCUUUUUCAUCACACUUGCAUACUUCACGAUUGUUUUGUUCCCCAGCUUUUCACUCAAAUCUGACAUACACACACCCACAUGUAUGCGUGUGUCUGCCCGUCUGUUGAAUGUGAUUUGUUUUGGGCAGCCCAUCGUCCGAGUCAUUCCUUUGCUGGCGAAGAACGCGGUGAUGAUGACGAAAAUGAUGAUAAUAUGGAUAUCGGAGAGCCGGAGGAAGCUGCACCAGGUACAGCUGGUUGGAGUCAAGUGGAUCCGCGAGAAAAAAGAAGGACAAUAUUGAAGUCCAGCUUGAAGUAAGUAACUGAGUUUAGAAGACCACAGCUGUUUUCCACUGAGUUGUGUUGGCCUAC
Sycon ciliatum is the source of this 786-nucleotide long non-coding RNA. RefSeq lists it as uncharacterized. The transcript has 3 exons. NCBI's taxonomy places the organism in Eukaryota, Metazoa, Porifera, Calcarea, Leucosolenida, Sycettidae. The record is from RefSeq and is a predicted model, not a curated record.